AAAGUGCGUAGGUCCUAAGCAUUAUACAUACUGUGUCCAAAAAUCAUAAUGGCCUAUUGGCUCUAUGUUGAGAAAAUUAGAAUCAUAAUCAAUGUACUGCUGAUAUGUUAAUUUUAACAGUAACAAUCCCUAAUACUCAUAGUAAAGAACAACAAAAAUUAUACACUAAAUAUUGAAUGGUAAUAGAGAAGCAUCCAGUAGCAAGCUGUUUCCAUUCUUUUUGCAUUCAUGUUGUGGGUCAUUCAUGUAAUUUUACUCGAUUUUGUUUUUCCAUCAUGAUCUGAGGUUUUGAAAUGAAUCUCGCUCAACAUGGAUUUGUAAUCCAUUGCAAACAUUAAUUUUUACACAUUGAAGCUGGCUCCUAUAUCCUCUAAGCAGACUUUCUGGCAAGAAAGAAAGGAAGAAAGGGAUGGAGGAGAAAGAAAAAGAAAGAAAGAAAGAAAGAAAGAAAGAGAGUAAGGGAGGAAGAAAGGAAGGAAGAAGAGAGAAAGAAAAAAGGAAGAGAAGGAAUAGGAAGAGAAAAACAAAAAAGAUAAUAAGAGGUUCCAUGAUGGCUCAGCCAGUAAAGGUGUUAUUGCUGUGGUCCUGGUCACUGCUGUGGUGUGGGUUCAAUCCCUGGCCCAGGAAAUUCCACAUGUUGCAGGUGCAGCUAAAAAAAAAAGGAAACGAUAACAAGCUGGCUACUACUUUUUUUUUUUUGUCCUUUUGCCAUUUCUUGGGCCACUCCUGCGGCAUAUGGAGGUUCCUAAGCUAGGGGUCGAAUCAGAGCUGUAGCCACCGGCUUACGCCAGAGCCACAGCAACGUGGGAUCCAAGCUGCGUCUGCAACCUAUACCACAGCUCACAGCAACGCUGGAUCCUUAACCCACUGAGCAAGGCCAGGGAUCGAACCCACAACCUCAUGGUUCCUAGUUGGAUUCAUUAACCACUGAGCCACGACGGGAACUCCAAAGCUGGCUACUAUUUAUUAAGCACGUACAGGUGUACUUCAUCCAGCAAUUUUGUUAAUUGCUUUGCCUGCAUCAUUGAGUUUAAUCUUCACUAGGAACUUGUGAGACUUAGAGCAGUUAUAUAAAUUGCCUAGAAUCAUACAACAGUUAAGUGGCAAAUGUAGAAUUCAAACCUUUGUCCUUUGACUUCAAAUCAGGUACAUAAUCACUUCAAUCUUCAAUCUUUCUUACAAAGAGAAACUAACUUAAUUUUUCUCUUUCACUGUGUUAUUUUUCUAUAAGAGGAAUUAUGAUAAUCUCCCACUACCUACUAAGAAAACACUGUUGUGACGGGAGAGGAAGCGGAUGAAGCUGGAGAGGUAGGCAGAGGCCAGUUCAUGGAGGACACCCACCAUGCUAAUGAGUUUAGAUUUCAUUCUAACAGCAAUGGGUCAUGGAAAGACUGUAAGCAGGAGUUAAAUCUUGAGAUUUGAGUUGCAGAACCAUCUUCCUGGUAGGAAGCUCUAUAAAGAGUUGACUAUGAUGGUACAAUCUGGAAACAAGGCAUCUGGCUCUAAUCCCGGUAAGAAAGUGACAACAUUCUCAUAAAGGCAGAUUCGGUGAUAAUGGACAAAGAGGGGCAAGGUGUUGGUAGUGUAAAAAGUGAAUUCAGUAGAACUUAGUGACUCAUUAGAUUUGGAGAGUGAGGCAAAAAUUAAGAGUCAAGAAGGACUAGCAGAUUCGCAAUUUGCGUGUCGAGGUAGAGAUGACAAUGCCAGCAGCAGAAAUAGGGACAAGAACAGAGACAUGCACUUGCUACAGAAGGCAGUCUUUUCGGUCCUCUAGCCUUUGUCCCUUCACUUCCUUUCGCAAUUUAUUCCCCAGACAUAUCUCCUCUUCCUGAAACUAUUCAAAGCCCUAUACACAUUCCAUCUUCCCCAGAAGGACCUGCUCUGAUUCCAUGAGCAAGUAGCAACGCUUACUUCUCUGAACCCCUAGUAAAUGUCUGGUACAAUUCACUUGGUAAGCAUCACACUCUGACUUGUAUAAGACUCAUCCAUGAACCUUUUGACAGUUUACAAAAUCUCCUAGGAGUGAAAUUAUAUCUAUUCUUUGCAUAUCUGUAUCCUCAAUUUAUAUACUUGAUACAUAAAUAAGCCCCAAAGAUUUUAACUAUGAAAAAUAAGGCAUGUGUUAGACAUUCUUUGAAGAAGGUAGCCUCUCCCACUCAAUUGGAAGCACUUUGAAAGCACGCAGCGCCUUGUACUAUUGUCUCAUAAGCUUUUACACACUGUUGUUUCCUAAGUCACAACUCAAUCGAGUGCUUAUCUCAAUGCUAAGUAUCAAGUGUGAGGACAAUUAAUAUGUAUAAACACACUCGAUGUGGAUGGCACCUCUACAUCUUUUUAUUCUUUAUCCAGUCCCUCUAUGAUAUUUAUCUUUUAAGGAUGGCAUCUUAGCAACGAACAUGAUCUCAGCAGAUUUUGUUUAUCUACAUGUAGUCAUAACCUCCUUCACUCAGAUGCACAGUUAUCUUCUUGCCAACCUCCUAUAGUCCUUGCAUUUGUAUAAAGACAUUUUAGUACUUUCAUUUUUUUUCUAUCUUUCAUCAUAUGCUACAAAAAAUGUAUCUUCUGCCUAAUUUUUUUUGAAAAGCUGCUAGUCUGCCAGUUUUGGCAGAGCAAACUAGGAAAUAGAGUCUGGCAACAAAAAGGCACCAAGCAGCAGAUGAACCUAAGGUUUGCAAAGUAGUGAUGCUCUUUGACCCGUUGUAUUGGGUGUGAAAUUAGAUCCUAUCAAUGUCACACUUACCCCCGGAGCAAAUGUCCCCUUGUGACAACUACAUGCUGUGCUUCAAGACAAAUGAUGGAAUAAAAUUUCCAACAAGUAAAAUCUCUCCAAAAGUAUCAGCAUAUUAUCAAUAGGCCUUUAGCUACUCCAAAAAUGUCUCCAGUAACCAGUGGCCACAACCAGCUUAAAAAGCAGAAGCUAUAGGAUAACUGCAAGUAAAACAAGUAUUCACUAGGGUGGGAGCAGAAACUUUCGAGGGUAUAGCAUAACACAGUGUAAAAUGGCAAUGCUAUUUUUGAAAGCAGGCAGGAACCACUCAGAUUAUAAUAGUAGAGAAUAUAAGUGACUAUAUCUCUCUUUUUUCCUUCCUUCCUUUCCUCUUCCUCAGAUUCAUUCAUUUAUUGCACAAUUCUUUGUUGAAUAUUUAUCAUCUCCAUGCCAGAAACUGUGUUUGGAACUGAAUGUUCAGUGGUGACCAAGUCAGAAAAAAAAUGAAGAAGAUUGGGAAAGGAUUGCUAUACAGAUCACAAAGCCAACAGAAACAAGGAAAUCCUCAAAACCUGUGCCAACCUCAGCUAGGUUCUGCACAUUAGCAAAUGGUACCUACUUAUGCAAAUUCCAUGGACUUACAUCCCUCUCUAUACGUAUAAAAGAAUAACCAGAGGCAGAGUAACUCCACUUUAGGAAAGUUAGCAAUAAGAGACCCCAUGCCUGUAGCUUUUACCUAAAAUCUUAAUUUUGGACUACUGAGGACUGGUCUUUAGAAUAUUUAGGAAGUUGCUAUUACUGUAAGAGUUUUAAUAGGAGCACAUUUCUCUUACAACAGGCACUUUAAAAUGAGAUAGACUGAACUCAGAGCGAGCUUCAGUUACAGUGGUUCGAUCAAGUAGGAAAAAUAGAAAAUGACCUAUUCUGCUUGCAAAGAAGGAGAUGUGGAUAUCGUAGGCGUGUGGGGGGUGGGAGCGGGGCGGUGUACACAGAUAUCAGUUAGAGAGUCUUGAACAGCAUCCUAAAAUCAUAUUUAUUGGAAAAAUAGUUCUAGAAUAUGCAAUGGUUAUCAAAAGAAAAAAGUUGUAUAAAUGUUCUUUAAAAGUGUAACAGGUAUUUACCACAAGACUUUCAGAGUCUUUAAAUGCCAAUGUUAUUAUGAACUUCUGAUAAAGAGGCAUAAAGAUGUUGCAUAUUCCACUCUCAAUAGACUAUAAUUUGAAAAUUGAUAAAAAGCAACUUGUACAUUUUAAAAACUGCAGUUCAGGGAGGUUAAUUAACUCAUCCAAAGCCACCGGCCAGCUCUUUGGGUCCUGAUCUGCUGCUCUUUCCACUACUUCGCAAUAGUCACCAAACUGCUAAAUGGUUCUCUAAUUUUGAUGACACGUCCUUCUCCUAUUUUCAUCUCUAUGCUUUAUCAAAAAGAAAAUCUAAUAUUUCCAUAUUUGCUUACUUUGGGAUGGCCCCAGCUCUAAAAGAAGAAAAAGACGUCUUGCAAUUCGAAGAAGCAGGGUGCUACACUCUAGGACUGAAGCCUCAAAUGCAAUUUUCCCUGAAUAAAAAUGUCAACGUAAAGCCUUCCACAUCAGGCUAACCUGGUGAGGCCCUUGGUGUCCUUUUACAGGCUUGUUUUGGAAAAAAUUAUUAGUACAAGUUGUACAUGCAUGUUAUGUGCAUGUGUGUGUGUAGUGCUGGCUUUUCUAUUGGCACACCUUGAUUCCAUCCCCUCAUGGCUGAUAUCAUUUCCAAGUGCUAUAGAUUGAUUCCAUUUAUUAAUUCAAUCAUUCAUUCAUUUACUAAUAUAUCCAACCGACAUUCGUUGAACCCCGACUCUCAUGCCUAGCCCACAGCCCCACUAUAUUCCUUCUCUGAGUGUAUGUAUUUACGUGGUAGGAAAUCUGAUUGAGAAAUGUCUUCCUAGAAUUCCAGAUUCUGUUUCCACCAACACCUACUCUGAUCUAACUGCUCAGGUAUGUUUGCUUUAAAGCUGAGAUCCACUCUAUAUGUCACUGCUUAGCAAAACAGGGAAGCUCUCUGUGAAGUUACUUCAUUGGCUUCCCAGAAAAAAAAUGGAGAGUGCCUCCCCUCACAGUAGUGGAGGGAGAUUUGUUCCAAAGGGUAGAAAUGAAAGACAAUCAGCACCUGUAGCUGAGUAAUGAAAACACAAUAAAGUGAAGAAAGUCUAAUCAAAGAAUCUGUGCUGGUAAUGACUUUGGAAAGUGGUUCCUCAAACCAGCUCCCUUGUGGAAUCUAGCCCAGUGAAAACUAGACUGACUGGAAGAAAACACCUCCAGCCCUUCGCUGACCUUCCACUUCACGCUGUUGUCCAGUCCUCAUUCCAUUAUCAGUCACGCCUCUCCUUUAUUCCAUGCUAUUCAUCCUUCUCUGAAAUCAUCUUUAUUUUUCUAUUUUUUCUUUGUCUCUUACUCUCCAGAAUUUACCUUGUUCAAGUGCAGAGAUUUUUUUUUUUACUUGUCUCGUUUCUUGUUUUAUACCCAGCAUAUAGAACUUUAUUGGCACAUAUCAGCCAAUCAAUAAUACUUGUUGGAUGGAUGAAGGCAAGAAAGAAUGCAUAAAGUGACUAAAAAACCUCUUUUACUGUCCUACCUCAUCCUAACCUGUAUAAUAACCUAAUUUUUUCUUGUAAUCCCCAUUUGAAUGGCUGAGCUAUUUAGCUGAAACUAAAUAGUCCAAAAUUACUUCAAAUUCCUCUGGAGCUUUACUAUAAAUUCUAAUGAAAUCAUACUUAUCACAUGCAAUUAGAUUUAAUUCAUGAAAGUAGGGCCAAACAAUUGUCUAGUCUGAAACACUGCCACUAGCAUCUUUCAAACAUCUU
Molecule: long non-coding RNA, 5543 nt
Filed under: Sus scrofa (pig)
Lineage: Eukaryota; Metazoa; Chordata; Mammalia; Artiodactyla; Suidae
Description: lncRNA (ENSSSCG00000056341.1)
Source: RNAcentral